AUAUAUAUAUAUAUAGAGAGAGAGAUAUGAGAUAGAUAUAUAGAUAUCAGAGACUGCAGCCUGUGUGCAACAUUGUAUAGUUGGUUUUUAACAACUUCCAAACCAACCAAUUGAGAUUCUGGCGUCAUUGGUGGUUUCACCAUCAUAAAAGCAGGAGCCAAUUUGUGUCCUGGAGGGCCAAGAGUCUGCAGGUUUUCAUCAUCCAAACAAACCAAACUACAGUGCUGCUGCUGCUGUUGUUGUUGGUGUUAGGGGAGGAAUUUCCACAUCCCAUCUCUCUCAUCGGAGUCUAUAAAAGCUCAGAGGA
This is a long non-coding RNA of Micropterus salmoides (largemouth bass), 307 nucleotides long. RefSeq lists it as uncharacterized. Lineage: Eukaryota; Metazoa; Chordata; Actinopteri; Centrarchiformes; Centrarchidae. The transcript is spliced from 3 exons. The record is from RefSeq and is a predicted model, not a curated record.